UACGAAGGGGGCUAGCGUUGCUCGGAAUCACUGGGCGUAAAGGGUGCGCAGGCGGCCGUGUGUGUGAGGCGUGAAAGCCCGGGGCUUAACCCCGGAAUUGCACCUCAAACUAUACGGCUAGAGCAUUGGAGAGGGUAGCAGAAUUCAUGGUGUAGCAGUGAAAUGCGUAGAUAUCAUGAGGAAUACCAGAGGCGAAGGCGGCUACCUGGACAAUUGCUGACGCUCAGGCACGAAAGCGUGGGGAGCAAAAGGG
RNAcentral lists this ribosomal RNA (253 nucleotides) under uncultured bacterium. RNAcentral's name for it is "partial 16S ribosomal RNA". It matches the Rfam family "Bacterial small subunit ribosomal RNA", at positions 524 to 776 of the family's 1533-position model. The record is from RNAcentral.